AUUUGAAUAUUUCUGCUCGAGGCUUCGAAAUGUAGAGAGUUAAUACUGCAAGAAAACUUCGCUUUUAUGAAACGUUUAUGAAAUAAAAUCGGUGUGUCAUGCAGAGGAAAAGGUCAGUAUUAAAUUUAGCUAUUUUUAAAACGUUUUUGAGUUGUUCUUGUUAAGUUAUUGCUGUUUUUUAAAACACGUGUCUAUAUUCAUUGUAGUACUAUUGAAUUUGAUUCCCAUUCAAGCGCUUCGUUUCAGCGCUCAGUCGCUUUAUUUUCUCAGUGUCUCUCCCUAUUUUCCUAGCAGUAAUGUUCAGAAAUACCACAGCUUUGAUUCAUUUAACUCAUAUUUGGUUUAUCUGCAAUUUCAGGGCGAAAAUUUGAAGAGAAAGUGAACUAAUUUAAGUCGCCGACAUGGUCGAAAUGCCGAAGCACUUGGUAAGCAUAAUGUCGAUUAAAGGCGUUUCCUUCUUGUUUGUUUCUCGUUUCAAGCUUCCCCAAUACACCUAAACGUUUUCUAGCAUUGCUUUGUAGUCUUAUGAACACUCUGAGUCAAGUUUAGUUACAAUAUUGGCGAAAGAUAUUGCUGUUUUUGAAACACGUGUGUAUAAAAUAAUAUGUACUGAAUUCGAUUCCCAGCGCUUCGUUACGGCGCUUGGUCGCUUUAUUCCUUUGGUCUUUCUCACUCAUUACCUGGCAGCAAUGUUCAGAAAUACCCUAGCUUUGAUUUAUUUAACUCAUAUUUAGUUUAUCUGCGAUUUCAGGGCGAAAAUUUGAAGAGAAAGUGAACUAAUUUAAUCGCCAACGUGGUCGAAAAGGCGAAGUACUUGGUAAGCAUAAUGUCCACUAAAGGCGUUUCCUUCUUGUUUUUUCUUUCGUUUUUAAGCUUCCCUUAUAAUAUACACCUUUACUACAAGAACUUUUUUAGUAAAGCCUUGUAGCUUUAUGAACACGCUCUGUCAAAUUUAGUUAAACUUUUGUUGAAAAUUUUGUCCGUACAGAGCGAAAUGCCGACUCAUAAUUUUAGGCAUGUUCAAUUCGACAUGCAUUUCAAACAUUCUAGCUUCUACAAACUUGCGUUUAUGUACAAAUUGUACUCUGAGAGGGAAGGCUAAGUUUUUUGAGUUUUUUGAGCUUGUCUAAGUUGAAUUUUAAUCCAGAUCUUUUGAAGCAGGUCAAAGACGAAAUAUCCUCGUGGUUCAUGUCAUAAUUUUAUGCAUACAUGGAUGCACGCAUUCUUGAAAAUUAAAAUAAAUUGGACAACCACACCCUGUGUAAACGAUAUUAGAGAGGUUAAGAUACACCGGUUUCGGUGUACGGGUACGAGUAGUGCCAUCUUGUUUUACUGAUGUCUGUAAUUCGAUCAUACUUUUUCUGUUUUCUUGCAAUAGACAAUGAUAUAAUGCGAAAAAUGUGCACCUUAAUUACGAGUAAAGGUACAGACAUCGACGAAAAUAUUGCUAACCAAAAUCAUGCUACCCGUAGACGUACACCGAAACCGGGGUAUCUUAGCCUCUCUAUUAAAUAACUCUUCGCUGUUUUGAAACUAAAAAUUCAUUAUCCAACUUUCUUAGAUUGCCUCAAAUUCGAUCACUCUGACGGCAAACAGUACAGAAAGACCUCUGCACAGAUUUGAAGAGACGCUCGCCUAGCAGUCGAAGCAAAACGAGAAGACGGGAUGGCAAAGGCCAAAUGAAGAGGGAUUCAAAAAACUUGAUACCAUAGUCUGGUAGUACCUGACGGAUCAGUAGAUACACCCAUCCUCAUACGAUUUCAUUCAAUCAGCCAAUUGUGAAUGAGAUGCAAAGACCUGCAAAGCGACAGUCGACGCCGCACCAUCCAGAGACCAUAACCAAUACGCCAUACCAUCGUGAAAGAUGUUCUACAUUACAGAAGGUAUAUUUUCCUCGUGAUUCUCGUUCAGUGCGUGUUCGAAAGUACGUGGGGACCACCCUGAAGACGCCCAAAUGCACAAAACAAAUUUAAAUAUGGCAAAAUUUUCCUUAAUUUCGCAAUUUAUUCAAAUUUUCUACAUUUCUUGGUAUUUGUGAAAAGCUCUUAACGAAAUCGAAAUGUUUGAAAUUCGGAAGUUUCGAUCUGGGAGUUUGUUUAUUUGAAAGAUAUUUGAAAUGAAAUUUUGAAGUUUACAUCACUUUGGUAUUUGGGUUAAACGCUAGGUAAAAUCAUGCCAGAUGAGUGGUCAAUCAUUCGUCGAAGUUCGGUGAUACUUGGGCUCGGACUUUCCCGACCUACAGUUGAGUUGCUCUGAUCGAUUGUCGUGAUCAACUAGCGCAAAUGUAAGGUCUGGCCAACCUUGCGUUUGUGCUUUUUGUUCGUAGCAUGAGAUUGGGACAGCUCGCCUGUAGGCCUGGUAAGAUCAAGCGGAAGUACCACCAAACUUUGAUUUGUGAUCGGCUUUUUGUCUGUCUGGCUUUAUCCAGCGUUUUCCCGUUAUCAUUUUGAUGUCGACUUUGGGAUUUUGGCUUGAAUAUAUUUAAUAUAAACAUUCUUUGAGGUUUAAUCUUUCAAGAAUUUCAUAGUUUUUGACUAGUUAAUGUGUUUCUCGCAGAUACUAUAAUUGUAUUAAAAAUAUUGACCAAAAAAAUUAAAACUGACCAAAACGUCAUUUGAGGUGUCGGAUGGGAGGUCCAGUGGCAGUCGUAGCGGAUACCAAUGGAUAAAUACGGAUUACUGUGACACUGUGUACUAUUGGAGAUAUUGUGAACAUUUAUGGAUAAUUGUGAACAUUAAUGGAUUACAACAAACACUUAUGGAUUAUUAUGAACAUUUGUGAAUAAAAUGUACCUCGCGAUCGACGGUUACCUACCAAUGUACCUUGACAACGAAAGCUGCACGACGGCAACGAGAUGACUGCCUCAAGGUUAGAGGGUUUAGUCUGAUAACAAGCUGUUGUUAGCUUGUUAUCAGGCAAAAGUUAGCCUGCUAUCAGGCAGUAGUUAGCCUGCUAACAGGCAGUAUAUCUGUAGGAUUCAUACCCAAGACUCUAAUUUGCAUGUUGUCGGUGAAGUCUAUGGGUUAACCGGUUUAAAAUUCCUGGCGGUCUGUGGUUAGUAGUACAUUUGCACGCAAGGUUGAUUUUUUAUUCUGAUGUUUGCAUGCUAAUAAAAAAUGAGAUAUUGACCUCAGUUAAUCAGAAUUUCGACAUCAUCUGAAUCGAAAGUCAAUCUUAUGAGGUUAACAUUUGAGCUUCCGGUCACGUGGUUCUUUGCAUGCACUCGGUUCGGUUAUUGGUGGGUUUCAGUAAGUGUUGCAGUCCAGACGAUGGAGCAAUUUAUUUGCUUCAAAUACUUGCUGGAGCAAUUUAUUUGCUUCAAAUACAAGACACAUAAAGUAAAAAAGAGUGAACAUUAUUUUUUCACUCUAGUAACUCGUAGUGAGACCCACCUAGAUAUUUGCGGUCUGUUCGUGCCAAUGUUCUUCUCUUUGUGUAAAUGUACUGCUUAGGUGUCUCCGUGUCUGUGCAUGGAUAACGCGGCGCGCAGCUAGUAUCCAGAAUAUAGGCAGACAAGUAAAACUUUGCCAGACUUAAAAAUUUUGUUUAUAUCAGUAUGUUAUGUUCAUAAAUGUAUAGAAAUAUCAUGAAAUGUGUUAGGCUUUGGCUUGGGGUUAAAUCUAACCCUAGAACCUUAACCUUAAUCCAUUACAUGAUCUGUAUAUUUGUGUACGUAAUAUAUGGGUGUAGCCAAAAUUUUAUUGAAAAGGUGGCACAGUUUUCCUUGAGUAGGAUAACUAAACUGGGUGCAAAUGGUAUCCAUAGCUUAGAGGGUGCAAAUGGUACCCGUAAGAAGAUUGGUGGAUAUUUUUGGACAAGAUGUUUUGAAAGAUCAGCUUAGGAUUGUAAUGACAUAAUUAUUGUAAUGAUAAAUAGUGUAGGCUUACGUGAAUAAUAAAUUGUCGACUCGUGGAAAGGUGUAUCUUUCAUCGCCCGUAGUGCAUGUAUAUCGCUGGUUUCGAACGUUAGUUUUCUGCCCCGGGUUAUAUGAAAACAGUUCGCUACCAGAGAUUAGGUCCCCUCUCUGUUAUUGGCACUCGACGAUGGAAGAAAUUAACAUAAGGCAUGCAAACCUUACCCCUGUUUGUGGAAGCUCACCAGGUGCAAUGGCACACUAGGUUAAGUUAAGCUAGGGGCAUGACCGAGACUCCACAUUCGGGGGUUUCCCUUGCAGGUUUUUUGAAAGGGUAUGUGCGCGCGCGCACUAAUUAGGAAGGUUAGGCAGCUAGAAAUAGGGCGCUUUGGCUGCUUUUUGAAUGUAUACUAUAUGAGGCAUGUACACUAUGAUUCAUUAUCGUCAUACUUUUGCGCCAGUAAUUCUGAGAAGUAUUUAGCACAACAGGAAAAUGGAAUCUGUCUUCCUGCUGAAAAAUACUUACAGAAAUAAUUCAAAGUGGAAAAAAAGGAAAUAUUGCGAAAAAGAGAAAAAUAAAAAGAAAACCGCGAAGCCACUUUGAAUAUAAGCAACAAUAGUCCAAGAAUACUCGUUGCAGAAAAAAAACAACAAAAAAGAAACAAUUUUCUGCCUAAAAUAUCUUGGAUUAGGAGCUUAACGAUAAGAAACGUAGUUCUCGCUCCAAAGUGGAGAAUAGGCUCGUUUCUUUAGGUUACUAAUGCAGUUGCGCGCGCGCUUUAUAAAUUACACUAUAUGUUUUCAGUUGAAAAGACCGCCAGGGAAAAUAGGGUGUUUUCAUGUGUUGCUUUGUUGACGGACAAGUUUUCAAAAUAAUGGUUUUCUUGUUUCCUUGUAUUUCGGCACUUUAACUUGUUCCCAAACAUAGCUGCCGUGAAAACACUCUGCAGAUCAAGUUCAUAUAUGGUAGCAAUAGCAAUAUAGAAUGUUUGCCAUGUUGCAUUCCGUGUUGUCUUGCAUUGUUCAUACAUAAGCUUGGUCGAACCAUGGAUCAUAAAAACACCAUGGUCGAACGCAGCUAAUUAACAUAAGCAGCGCGCGCGCGUGCGGCUGUAAUGCGGAGUACAGUCACUGAGUGUACUCCAUGUGCAAAUAGUGAAGUGUGCUCUAUAUAGUCUAGACUUGAAACAAGGUUUCAUGCGCCAAGUUUCAUGCUUAUUAAAAUUAAACGCGCUACCUUGGAUGCUAGGUAAAAUUAAGGGCAUAAAAAUCAGUGCAUGCUUUUUUUUAAAUUGAGUGCGCGCGGUGCAAUUUUCUAGCGCGCGAUAGCAAAAUACGCCAAAAAUCCAAAUAUAGAAAUGCACACAUCACAUCUUCGGAAUGCAUCCAAUUGUCCUAACACCUUUUACAAACUAUCGUAAAAUCUGUUGGGCUGUUGGAUUCAUUUGCCACGCACGUUGUCCUGAACAUAUUUGAAAUAUUUUCAAGUUUCAAGGUUAAGAUAAAUAUACCUUAUGUGGAACAAUUUGUUCAUAAAAAGGGAUAUAUUUAUCUUGCGCAAUCCGUAGACUGAAUUUUCGGGUGGUCUACAAUGUUUUAUUGAACAUCUCGUGAGAUUUUUUUUUUUUUUUGCAAGAUUUUUACCUUUCUGGAUUUUGGUAGGUAUGGGUAGGUAUGGUAUAUUAUAGUUAAUUCGUCUGUGUAAGUGGGUGGGGUUCCCCCUGCGGUUUUCGGUAUCAGGACUCAUAAUCACCAAGGUUUUUCACCAGAUCUCGCCAUGCACAGCAACCGUGCAUGGCACUUCUGGUUUUCCUCGGGUGAUUAUGCAUUUUUUCGUUUGGCAAAAUUCCAAAACAAAAAACAGUGUCCGUGUUCGGGACGAAUUUAGUACUGUAUAGAAAAAAUGGAUUAUAUAGCUGUUGUAUAUUUUCAUGUUCGUCGUUGAGUGCAUGUGUCUUUAUAUUCUGUGAAUGGAGUUGCAUGCUCUGAAAUAUAUGCAGUAAUUAUCAUAUUCCACAUCGUUAGACCCCAUUUUCCAUGUUUUGAAUUAAAAAGUGGUUUGCAA
This 5918-nucleotide long non-coding RNA is filed under the name Paramuricea clavata. Lineage: Eukaryota; Metazoa; Cnidaria; Anthozoa; Malacalcyonacea; Plexauridae. The record is from RNAcentral.